RNAcentral lists this ribosomal RNA (467 nucleotides) under uncultured bacterium. RNAcentral's name for it is "partial 16S ribosomal RNA". It matches the Rfam family "Bacterial small subunit ribosomal RNA", at positions 28 to 506 of the family's 1533-position model. The record is from RNAcentral.
GACGAACGCUGGCGGCGUGCUUAACACAUGCAAGUCGAACGGAAAGGCCCUGCUUUUGUGGGGUGCUCGAGUGGCGAACGGGUGAGUAACACGUGAGUAACCUGCCCUUGACUUUGGGAUAACUUCAGGAAACUGGGGCUAAUACCGGAUAGGAGCUCCUGCUGCAUGGUGGGGGUUGGAAAGUUUCGGCGGUUGGGGAUGGACUCGCGGCUUAUCAGCUUGUUGGUGGGGUAGUGGCUUACCAAGGCUUUGACGGGUAGCCGGCCUGAGAGGGUGACCGGCCAAAUUGGGAUGGAGAUACGGCCCAGACUCCUAGGGGGGGAAGCAGGGGGGAAUAUUGAAAAAGGGGGGGAAGCCGGAUGCAGAAACGCCGGGGGGGGGAUGACGGCCUUGGGGUUGAAAACCGCUUUCGCCGGUGAGGAAGGGGGGGGGAGGGUAAGGGGAAAAAAAGCACCGGAUAACUACGG